AUUGAACGCUGGCGGCAUGCCUUACACAUGCAAGUCGAACGGCAGCACGGGUGCUUGCACCUGGUGGCGAGUGGCGAACGGGUGAGUAAUACAUCGGAACAUUUCCUGAAGUGGGGGUAAGCCCGGCGAAGGCCGUAUUAAUACCCCAAAGGAUCUACGGAUGAAACCGGGGGACCUACGGGCCUCGCGCUAUGGGGUGGCCCGAUGGUGGUUUAGCUAGUUGGUGGGGUAAAGGCCUACCAAGGCGACGAUCAGUAGCUGACCUGAGAGGACGACCAGCCACACUGGGACUGAGACACGGCCCAGACUCCUACGGGAGGCAGCAGUGGGGAAUUUUGGACAAUGGGCGAAAGCCUGAUCCAGCAAUGCCGCGUGUGUGAAGAAGGCCUUCGGGUUGUAAAGCACUUUUGUCCGGAAAGAAAUCCUUGGCCCUAAUACGGUCGGGGGAUGACGGUACCGGAAGAAUAAGCACCGGCUAACUACGUG
RNAcentral lists this ribosomal RNA (486 nucleotides) under uncultured bacterium. Its description in RNAcentral is "partial 16S ribosomal RNA". It matches the Rfam family "Bacterial small subunit ribosomal RNA", at positions 30 to 507 of the family's 1533-position model. The record is from RNAcentral.